AGUGAACGCUGGCGGUAGGCCUAACACAUGCAAGUCGAACGGCAGCACAGUAAGAGCUUGCUCUUACGGGUGGCGAGUGGCGGACGGGUGAGGAAUACAUCGGAAUCUACUUUUUCGUGGGGGAUAACGUAGGGAAACUUACGCUAAUACCGCAUACGACCUACGGGUGAAAGCAGGGGAUCUUCGGACCUUGCGCGAUUGAAUGAGCCGAUGUCGGAUUAGUUAGUUGGCGGGGUAAAGGCCCACCAAGGCGACGAUCCGUAGCUGGUCUGAGAGGAUGAUCAGCCACACUGGAACUGAGACACGGUCCAGACUCCUACGGGAGGCAGCAGUGGGGAAUAUUGGACAAUGGGCGCAAGCCUGAUCCAGCCAUACCGAGUGGGGGAAGAAGGCCUUCGGGUUGUAAAGCCCUUUUGUUGGGAAAGAAAAGCAGCAGGUUAAUACCCCGCUGUUCUGACGGUACCCAAAGAAUAAGCACCGGCUAACUUCGUG
Molecule: ribosomal RNA, 492 nt
Filed under: uncultured bacterium
Lineage: Bacteria
Description: partial 16S ribosomal RNA
Rfam family: Bacterial small subunit ribosomal RNA
Source: RNAcentral